This is a long non-coding RNA of Mobula hypostoma (lesser devil ray), 740 nucleotides long. RefSeq lists it as uncharacterized. NCBI's taxonomy places the organism in Eukaryota, Metazoa, Chordata, Chondrichthyes, Myliobatiformes, Myliobatidae. The transcript has 3 exons. The record is from RefSeq and is a predicted model, not a curated record.
CAGGCAUAUAAAGGGGAAACCCCUGUUGUCACGCAGUUAGUUCAUCAGUUAAUUCGUAAGUUGGUGUUUUGUUUGUUGUCUUUGACCUUGACCAACAGCUGUUUGGGGAGCCUCUUGUGAUGCCCUUGAUUGUGUCAUUGAUCACUGUGAACUGCCUGAGCUGGAAGUCGGAGAUUGGCUGCUUGUUUCAAAACAGAGGAGCAUACUCGGUCUCUCUCUCAAACAAGUUCAAUGGCUUUCAAGGGUUCUUUUGAAGACCCUGACCUGGAGUUACACACUGACUACGGUUCUUUGCAGGAAUAGGACCCGCUCUCAGGGCUUCAUAACUGGCCGUUGUUCGGCAUGCCAAAGGCUUGGAUCGAGAGUCCAGCUCGGAUUCGGAAGCCUAAGAUCUCAGGGCUCUGGAGACGGGUGGAUUGAGGGUUGGUGUCACGACAGGGGACUCGUGUGUAAUUGGGGGAGUUGAAAUAUCUACGGCUGUGCGCCUGGAGACCCAGGAUCUUUGUGAUCUUCAGGCACAGAGCUUGAAAAAAGUGAUAAACCAGCGAGUUAUUUGUUAUAUCUCCCCGCUGUGCUGGGAAAAUACAGACUCCUCUUCCUCCCUUAUUAGGGAGAGAGAGAACCUGUGGUAUGUCAAAUACCAGGUGAAACACAAAGUCUUUGGGGUAACUGCAAGUCUGUGUCUUCGCUAUUGCUUUGCUCACACUUGAGUGCUCGGUGGCAUUGCUGAAGAUUUUUUU